AUGGGGAGAUCGGCCCUUUCUUCCUGCCAGGGCAACCCCUUCUCCCUGUUCCUUUUCAACAUGGUUGUCGAUGCUCUGGCCGCCAUCUUGGAUAAGGCCAAGGCGGCGGGCCGCAUAAAGGGGAUAGUCCCGCAUCUUGUUGGGGAGCACGGGGUCUCCCUUCUCCAAUAUGCGGAUUACACCAUCAUCAUGGUGGAAGGAUCGGAGAGUGAUAUUUCGAACCUCAAGUUCCUUCUGUUGUGCUUCCAACAGAUGUCUGGCCUCAAGGUCAACUUCGACAAGAGCAAGGUGAUGGUCUUGGGGUACUCCCAAGACGAGCGCCAGAGUAUUGCGGAUCAGCUUAACUGCCAGCUUGGGAGCUUCCCCACGACUUAUCUGGGGAUACCCAUUAGUGAUUCUAGGCUCACGGUGGCCGACCUGCGCCCCACGGUGGGGAAGCUUCAGCACCGUAUCGAGCCUUGGCAAGGUCGUUGGCUCUCCAAAGCAGCAUGUACGGUGCUCAUCAACUCGUCCCUCUCCAGCAUGCUCUUGUUCAUCAUGAGCUUCUACAGCCUUCCGGAGACGCUUCAUCACGAGAUCGCCACUGUUCAAGGCCGUUUCUUCUGGGCCGGUGAGGGCGACAAGCAGAAGUACCACAUGGUUAGGUGGUCAGAAAUCUGCAAGCCUCACGACCAGGGCGGACUCGGGAUCAUGUCCUCCAAACGCAUGAACAUUGCCCUCCUAACUCGGUGGCUUUGGCGGAUUGCCAACGGAGAUGGUGGCAUGUGGCUUCGCAUCAUUCAGCAGAAAUACCUCUAA
RNAcentral lists this ribosomal RNA (798 nucleotides) under Triticum aestivum (bread wheat). RNAcentral's name for it is "partial small subunit ribosomal RNA". Lineage: Eukaryota; Viridiplantae; Streptophyta; Magnoliopsida; Poales; Poaceae. The record is from RNAcentral.